RNAcentral lists this ribosomal RNA (497 nucleotides) under uncultured bacterium. Its description in RNAcentral is "partial 16S ribosomal RNA". It matches the Rfam family "Bacterial small subunit ribosomal RNA", at positions 28 to 507 of the family's 1533-position model. The record is from RNAcentral.
GAUGAACGCUGGCGGCGUGCCUAAUACAUGCAAGUCGAGCGAACAGAUGAGGAGCUUGCUCCUCUGACGUUAGCGGCGGACGGGUGAGUAACACGUGGAUAACCUACCUAUAAGACUGGGAUAACUUCGGGAAACCGGAGCUAAUACCGGAUAAUAUAUUGAACCGCAUGGUUCAAUAGUGAAAGACGGCUUUGCUGUCACUUACAGAUGGAUCCGCGCCGCAUUAGCUAGUUGGUAAGGUAACGGCUUACCAAGGCAGCGAUGCGUAGCCGACCUGAGAGGGUGAUCGGCCACACUGGAACUGAGACACGGUCCAGACUCCUACGGGAGGCAGCAGUAGGGAAUCUUCCGCAAUGGGCGAAAGCCUGACGGAGCAACGCCGCGUGAGUGAUGAAGGUCUUCGGAUCGUAAAACUCUGUUAUUAGGGAAGAACAAAUGUGUAAGUAACUAUGCACGUCUUGACGGUACCUAAUCAGAAAGCCACGGCUAACUACGUG